UGUCAACAGAGCUAUCUAUAAACAAUG
Molecule: non-coding RNA, 27 nt
Filed under: Mus musculus (house mouse)
Lineage: Eukaryota; Metazoa; Chordata; Mammalia; Rodentia; Muridae
Source: RNAcentral